Pseudonaja textilis is the source of this 242-nucleotide non-coding RNA. Lineage: Eukaryota; Metazoa; Chordata; Lepidosauria; Squamata; Elapidae. The record is from RefSeq and is a predicted model, not a curated record.
GUAGUUCGAAAGCAUGUAAAAAUGCAAGUAGAAAAAUAGGGACCACUUUAGUGGGAAGGUAACAGCAUUCCGUGCACCUUCAACAUUUAGUCAUGCCGGCCAUAUGACCGUGGAGACGUCUUCGAACAGCGCUGGCUCUCCGGCUUUGUAACAGAGAUUAGCACCGCCCCCUAGAGUUGGAAACAACUAGCACAUAUGUGUGAGGGGAACCUUUACCUUUAACAUCAUACUUACAUACAAAC